RNAcentral lists this unclassified non-coding RNA (429 nucleotides) under soil metagenome. RNAcentral describes it as "partial contains 5.8S ribosomal RNA, internal transcribed spacer 2, and large subunit ribosomal RNA". The stretch from base 1 to 119 matches the Rfam family "5.8S ribosomal RNA", at positions 35 to 154 of the family's 154-position model. The record is from RNAcentral.
GAUGAAGAACUAGCGAAAUGCGAUACGUAAUGUGAAUUGCAGAAUUCAGUGAAUCAUCGAAUCUUUGAACGCAUAUUGCGCUCUCUGGUAUUCCGGAGAGCAUGCUUGUUUGAGUAUCAGUAAACACCUCAACUCCCUUUUCUUUUUUGAAAUUGGAGCUGGACUUGAGUGAUCCCAACGCUUUCUUCCAAGAAAGUGGCGGGUUGCUUGAAAUGCAGGUGCAGCUGAACUUUUCUCUGAGCUAUAAGCAUAUCUAUUUAGUCUGCCUAAAAAACAGAUUAUUACCUUUGCUGCAGCUAACAUAAAGGAGACUAGUUCUUGUGCUGACUGAUGCAGGAUUCACAGAGACAGCUUCGGCUGACUUUGUAAACUCGAUCUCAAAUCAAGUAAGACUACCCGCUGAACUUAAGCAUAUCAAUAAGCGGAGGA